This 1052-nucleotide long non-coding RNA is filed under the name Equus caballus (horse). RNAcentral describes it as "lncRNA (ENSECAG00000044586.1)". The record is from RNAcentral. Lineage: Eukaryota; Metazoa; Chordata; Mammalia; Perissodactyla; Equidae.
GUUUCUCACCAGGCCAUCUGUUGCAUUGUGAGAUUGUGACAUCAGUUGCCUGUAGAAAUGCUUGCGAUAAGGAGGCCCUUAACUAACUUCCUUUUGUACCUGUGACAAUGCAGGUGGCCUCCAACCCAAGGUGUGCUGAAAUUUAUAGCAAUGACCAUUGAGAAGACCAAGACCAUUCACUCAGGGAGAAGCCAGCUGCCGUGUUGUAAGCAGUCCCGUGGACAGAUUUUGGGGCCCCUCUCCCUGGUCUCACAGGCGAAUCUAGCAAGCCACCUGCAUAGGUCUUAAGUCAUUACAAUAAAAUCCACGUUGUCCUGUGCAGCAGCCACACAGCCCAUCUUCAGCUUGUGUCAAAAUGACCUUGCAACCCCCCACCUCAUGACUGAAGACGCCAGCUGGACAGAUCCACAACAGGAACAGACAAGGGGGUACCUCGCUCUCACAUUACCCAGCUGUGUUUCUUAGAGACUGGGGGAAUAAUUAACAACCCUGGUCCUUGCCUCCCUCCACACAUAGAUAACAUCAGCAUCACUGAACUCGUUUCAUGUGUAACCAGGGAAAUCUUGUUUAUGUUACCUUCAACGUGUAAUGUAGAGAAAAGCCCAGAUGUACUCAAUCUGGGUUUUUUUGAAAUCCAGUUGUGGGUUUUUUUUUUCCUUUUCCUCUUCCCUGCACAUGCACUGUUUUGUGAAAGAGAUAUAAGCAGCACUUAAACUCACGUACUUCGGAGCAGUUCCAUCAGAGCGCUCUGCUGAACUGUUUUUCCCGGGGUUGGAACUCCGCACGCUGAUUACUGAAUAAACUCCUUCACUAAUAUCACCCAGACUCUUUGUUUCAGCCAACAGUCCUAGGGAGAUUUCCACGUGCUGAGGAACUGAGGCAUCCUGCUAACAACCACGUGGAGCCUUCAGAUGACGGCAGCCUUGGCCAACAUUUGAGCUGCAAGCCCCUGAGAGACCCUGAGCCAGAACCACAGCUAAGCUGCUCCUGGAUUCCUGCUCCACGGAAACUGAGCUGGAAAUAUUUGUGGUUUUAAACUGCUAAAUUUGGAC